This is a non-coding RNA of Ceratobasidium sp. 370, 113 nucleotides long. The record is from the annotation of a GenBank genome assembly. NCBI's taxonomy places the organism in Eukaryota, Fungi, Basidiomycota, Agaricomycetes, Cantharellales, Ceratobasidiaceae.
GCCUCAGUGGUCUAGUAGUAUGAUUCGCCCUUCGGGAGUUAUCCCGUAAGUUGAGGAUUAAACCUGUACUUACUUAAUGGGUGAGGCCCUGGGUUCAAUUCCCAGCUGGGGCC